CCUGAACGCUGGCGGCGUGGCUAAGACAUGCAAGUCGAACGGUGUAGCAAUACACAGUGGCGAAAGGGUGAGUAAUGUAUCGCUAAUGUACCCCGGACUUUGGGAUAGCUGCCCGAAAGGGCAGGUAAUACCAGAUGAUAUAACUGAACCGCAUGGUUUGGUUCUCAAAGGUCUGCCGGUCUGGGAGCAGGCGAUAUCGUAUCAGCUAGUUGGUGAGGUAACGGCNCACCAAGGCGACGACGCGUAACCGGACUGAGAGGUCGGCCGGUCACAUCGGGACUGAGACACUGCCCGGACUCCUACGGGGGGCUGCAGUAACGAAUCUUCCGCAAUGGGCGCAAGCCUGACGGAGCGACGCCGCGUGCAGGACGAAGUCC
Molecule: ribosomal RNA, 377 nt
Filed under: uncultured bacterium
Lineage: Bacteria
Description: bacterial SSU rRNA
Rfam family: Bacterial small subunit ribosomal RNA
Source: RNAcentral